GGGUCGUUAGCUCAAUUGGUAGAGCAACUGACUCUUAAUCAGUAGGUCCCGGGUUCGAUCCCCUGACGACCCACCA
This 76-nucleotide transfer RNA is filed under the name Desulfobacter sp. RNAcentral's name for it is "tRNA-Lys". It matches the Rfam family "tRNA". From Rfam's summary of the family: Transfer RNA (tRNA) molecules are approximately 80 nucleotides in length. Their secondary structure includes four short double-helical elements and three loops (D, anti-codon, and T loops). The record is from RNAcentral. Lineage: Bacteria; Pseudomonadati; Thermodesulfobacteriota; Desulfobacteria; Desulfobacterales; Desulfobacteraceae.